GGUACGGUUUCUUCUGCGUACGGUUCGUGCCAAAGUGAUAUACGCAUCUCGGCAGAAAAGCGAGAGAUAUUUUGAGGCUCGUUCGAUCAAGCGUGUGCUCCGACUCAGUAAGAGACGCACGAACCUGACAGGAGUGCCGUGGGAUGAUCGGGACCAUGUCGGGGUGUUUUGGGAAUUAGCGUGAGGUGCCAUCAUACCAGAUAGAAGAAAAAAAAAUAUAGAAGACACCGAGUGCUGGCUGGUUAUUUACGCGAUGUUUUAUUGUGGAUGGAGCGAGAUAGAAGCUUAUGAUUAUUUAUUGUGCCAGAGAGAAAAACGGAAGGACGAGGAAAGAGGACCCUCAUUGGUAUGACAGCACAUCAUUGCGUGAAGAGCAGACUAUGGCAUAGCACGGGAUCAAGUACAAGUAUCGACAGCCGGUGGCGCCGUCAUCAGAGGCAACUCGAUCCUCACCGGUGAUUCCUCUGCUGUACAUGCUCAUGUUAUCCUCCGGUUUUGGUUUCUUCACGGCGUGGCUGGCUAUCGGGCAGCCCGACAAGGACCU
Molecule: long non-coding RNA, 544 nt
Organism: Cataglyphis hispanica
Lineage: Eukaryota; Metazoa; Arthropoda; Insecta; Hymenoptera; Formicidae
Exons: 3
Source: RefSeq, a predicted model, not a curated record